RNAcentral lists this long non-coding RNA (783 nucleotides) under Homo sapiens (human). Its description in RNAcentral is "HSALNT0366393". The record is from RNAcentral. Lineage: Eukaryota; Metazoa; Chordata; Mammalia; Primates; Hominidae.
GAGAACCUCCUAGCACCCCAGAACUCCCAGACAGAAUGUUAGGUAAUGCCAAUGAGCACAGAUCAAUCAUCUGCACAAUCUGAAGACGGAGCACUUUCCAUGGAGUGCUGAUGAAGUGCCAGGGUCCUAGGCUCCUUCUGGUGUGCCACCCCUCGGACAAGUCUCUCAGCCUCAAGGUCCAGGAUGGCAACAUCUGUCCAAACAGCAAGAUGGAGAACAGGACAGGAUAGGAACGAAGUAGGAGAGGGGCCAAGGACUCAUGCUGGCAUCCCGCCAGCCUUUUGACACGAGUCACCCUUCCGCCACUUUAUAAAAAAAGGUAGGCCUCUUAUCAGUGGUAGGCAAUAGCAGGGUAGUGAAAACCGUUUCCCCACCACCGCCAAGGCAGGGAAUAGAGGCUGCAUUGUCCUUAGAGAAUUGUAAAUGAGUAAGCAACCGAAAGUUCUUUGUUAUCCCCUGGGCCAGCAAUCCUAAACAAUGUCAGUGAUAAAACAUUCCUCCCUGAAAAAGUAUUUUAUUGGUCUAAGUUCUAAAUCUAAAUAAAUGCUGUCAUUACCACUGAGUUUUAAUUAUAUGUGAACUUCGGCCGGGCACAGUGGCUCACGCCUGUAAUCCCAGCACUUUGGGAGGCCAAGGCAGGUGGAUCACCCGAGGUUAAGAGUUCGAGACCAGCCUGGCCAACAUGGUGAAACCCCAUCUCUACUAAAAAUACAAAAAUUAGCCAGGCAUGGUAGUGCACGCCUGUAAUCUCAGCUACUCAGGAGGCUGAGGCAGGAGAAUCAC